GACGAACGCUGGCGGCGCGCUUAACACAUGCAAGUCGAACGGGCAGCUUCGGCUGUCAGUGGCGAACGGGUGCGUAACACGUAAGCGACCUGCCUUCAGGUGGGGGAUAACCCCGGGAAACCGGGGCUAAUACCGCAUGAGCUCCCUGGGCUGCAUGGCUUGGGGAGGAAAGCUCCUGCAAGGGAGCGCUUGAAGAGGGGCUUGCGGCGUAUCAGCUAGUUGGCGAGGUAACGGCUCACCAAGGCGACGA
This 250-nucleotide ribosomal RNA is filed under the name uncultured bacterium. RNAcentral's name for it is "partial 16S ribosomal RNA". It matches the Rfam family "Bacterial small subunit ribosomal RNA", at positions 28 to 279 of the family's 1533-position model. The record is from RNAcentral.